Picea glauca (white spruce) is the source of this 47-nucleotide non-coding RNA. NCBI's taxonomy places the organism in Eukaryota, Viridiplantae, Streptophyta, Pinopsida, Pinales, Pinaceae. The record is from Rfam.
AAACCGGAUUUACUUAAAUCCAACUAAAUUAACUCCAUAAAAUCUAU